Molecule: ribosomal RNA, 328 nt
Filed under: uncultured Terrimonas sp.
Lineage: Bacteria; Pseudomonadati; Bacteroidota; Chitinophagia; Chitinophagales; Chitinophagaceae
Description: bacterial SSU rRNA
Rfam family: Bacterial small subunit ribosomal RNA
Source: RNAcentral
AGCGCAGGCGGACUUGUAAGUCAGUGGUGAAAUACCUGAGCUUAACUCGGGAACUGCCAUUGAUACUAUAGGUCUUGAAUGUUGUUGAGGUUUGCGGAAUGGGUCAUGUAGCGGUGAAAUGCAUAGAUAUGACCCGGAACACCUAUUGCGAAGGCAGCAGGCUAAACAAAUAUUGACGCUGAGGCUCGAAAGCGUGGGGAUCAAACAGGAUUAGAUACCCUGGUAGUCCACGCCCUAAACUAUGAUUACUCGACAUACGCGAUACACUGUGUGUGUCUGAGCGAAAGCAUUAAGUAAUCCACCUGGGAAGUACGACCGCAAGGUUGAA